UAGGACAGAGAGAAUGUAUGGAGAUUUAAAGAGGGUUAAUUGCGUAUAGGUUCCUGCAAACAUAAUGAAUUACAAAUUUAUAACUAUAAAGUUCAACUUUUAUAUAUUAUUCUUACAAAAGUCCUGAUAUUUUUAAAUAUAUUCCCUACCGGUAGAAUUAAUUAGAAAAAUUUAGUUAACCAUAUAUUAAAUACUUAACCCUGAUUAGUUAAUAAGAUGAAUUGAAUUUUUUACCCGUCUUAAAUUAAUAUUGAAAUUUUUGAAGAAACAUAUUAGUGAUGACAAAAAAAUCAUUUUACUUAUAAAACAGACAGUACUUUAACGAUAGCAAAUUAAAUGGACAUAUUUAAAAAUAUCAAAAUUUUUUAGGGAACAAUAUAUAUAAGUUGAUCUUUAUAGAAAUAUAUUGGUAAAUCAUUAUAUUUGCAGGGACCUAUACUAAAUUAAUUCAUUUUAAAAAUAAAGAUUAAUUGCAUACAGGUCCCCGCAAACAUUGUAAAUUGCAAAUACAUUUUUGUAAAAUUCAACUUUCAUAAGUUAUUUCUGUAAAAGUUCUAAUAUUUUCAAAUAUGUCUAUCUGAUUUAUUACAGUUAGACAACCGUUAAAAAACUGUUUAUAUUUUUAAUUUUGCCAUCACAAAUAUAUCAUUUCAAAAGGUAUAACAGUAUAAUAUAAGAAGGGUAAAAAUAUUAAAAAUUAAUAUGGGUAAAAUAUUUAAUUUAUGAUUAACUAAAUUUUUCUAAUGAAUUCUAACCGUAAAGGCAUAUCUGAAAAUAUUAAAAUUUUUACAAAAAUAAUUUAUAAAACUUAAACUUUACAGUAAUAAAUUUAUAAUUUAUUAUAUUUAUAGGGACGUGUAUGCAAUUGAUCCAA
Molecule: long non-coding RNA, 874 nt
Filed under: Ananas comosus (pineapple)
Lineage: Eukaryota; Viridiplantae; Streptophyta; Magnoliopsida; Poales; Bromeliaceae
Description: long non-coding RNA (ACOM_LNC012940)
Source: RNAcentral